GGAGAGGUACCCAAGUGGUUGAAGGGGGCGGUUUGCUAAACCGCUAGCAGGUGUUAAGCCUGGCCCGGGUUCAAAUCCCGGCCUCUCCGCCA
Molecule: transfer RNA, 92 nt
Filed under: Elusimicrobiota bacterium
Lineage: Bacteria; Pseudomonadati; Elusimicrobiota
Description: Elusimicrobia bacterium (anaerobic digester metagenome) tRNA-Ser
Rfam family: tRNA
About the family: Transfer RNA (tRNA) molecules are approximately 80 nucleotides in length. Their secondary structure includes four short double-helical elements and three loops (D, anti-codon, and T loops).
Source: RNAcentral